This is a non-coding RNA of Hordeum vulgare subsp. vulgare (domesticated barley), 114 nucleotides long. Lineage: Eukaryota; Viridiplantae; Streptophyta; Magnoliopsida; Poales; Poaceae. The record is from Rfam.
GAGAGCACAGUACGAUGAAAGUUGUAAGCUGUGUUCGGGGGGGAGUUAUUGUCUAUCGUUGGCCUCUAUGGUAGAGCCCGUCGGGGAGGCCUGAGAGGCGGUGGUUUACCCUGU